UGGCAGCGGUGGGAUUCGAACCCACGCCUCGAAAGACUGGUGCCUAAAACCAGCGCCUUAGACCACUCGGCCACUCUACC
Molecule: transfer RNA, 80 nt
Filed under: Araneus ventricosus
Lineage: Eukaryota; Metazoa; Arthropoda; Arachnida; Araneae; Araneidae
Description: tRNA-Leu
Source: RNAcentral